Molecule: long non-coding RNA, 445 nt
Filed under: Fukomys damarensis (Damara mole-rat)
Lineage: Eukaryota; Metazoa; Chordata; Mammalia; Rodentia; Bathyergidae
Description: lncRNA (ENSFDAG00000031462.1)
Source: RNAcentral
UGAUUUCUUCCCAAUAAUAACUGAUUUUUGGUUAUCUUUUUCCUUUUUUGUUCUUUAAAUUGAAUGAGGAUGAUGCAACAUGGCUUCCAUUAUUCACUGGAAAACCGAAGAACCACUGGAACAGCUAGAAUCCAGAUCCGCUGGAAUUCCCAUGCCUCCAUGCUGCCUAUCUGGGACAACUGGUCUCUCAGGCUUCCAUCUCACUCCAUGACUCGGAAAUACUACACCACGUUGGAGAAUUUGAGUCUUGCAACUAAUCCAAGAAACUACAGUGUUCUGACCAUUAUCUUUAUUUGUAUGUUCCUGUCCUUAUUUUUUUUUAAAACACAAUGUUUUUUAUUAAAGAGGAUAAAAAUAUAACAAGUUAAAAAACAGGUUGGAAGCCUAUUCAACCCUGGGAGAGAGACAGUGAUUUUCAUCAAGUUUUCUCGACCCCACUGUGGAG